RNAcentral lists this ribosomal RNA (1221 nucleotides) under Bacillus cereus. RNAcentral describes it as "bacterial SSU rRNA". It matches the Rfam family "Bacterial small subunit ribosomal RNA", at positions 148 to 1354 of the family's 1533-position model. Lineage: Bacteria; Bacillati; Bacillota; Bacilli; Caryophanales; Bacillaceae. The record is from RNAcentral.
UCCGGGAAACCUGGGCUAAUACCGGAUAACAUUUUGAACCGCAUGGUUCGAAAUUGAAAGGCGGCUUCGGCUGUCACUUAUGGAUGGACCCGCGUCGCAUUAGCUAGUUGGUGAGGUAACGGCUCACCAAGGCAACGAUGCGUAGCCGACCUGAGAGGGUGAUCGGCCACACUGGGACUGAGACACGGCCCAGACUCCUACGGGAGGCAGCAGUAGGGAAUCUUCCGCAAUGGACGAAAGUCUGACGGAGCAACGCCGCGUGAGUGAUGAAGGCUUUCGGGUCGUAAAACUCUGUUGUUAGGGAAGAACAAGUGCUAGUUGAAUAAGCUGGCACCUUGACGGUACCUAACCAGAAAGCCACGGCUAACUACGUGCCAGCAGCCGCGGUAAUACGUAGGUGGCAAGCGUUAUCCGGAAUUAUUGGGCGUAAAGCGCGCGCAGGUGGUUUCUUAAGUCUGAUGUGAAAGCCCACGGCUCAACCGUGGAGGGUCAUUGGAAACUGGGAGACUUGAGUGCAGAAGAGGAAAAGUGGAAUUCCAUGUGUAGCGGUGAAAUGCGUAGAGAUAUGGAGGAACACCAGUGGCGAAGCGACUUUCUGGUCUGUAACUGACACUGAGGCGCGAAAGCGUGGGGAGCAAACAGGAUUUAGAUACCCUGGUAGUCCACGCCGUAAACGAUGAGUGCUAAGUGUUAGAGGGUUUCCGCCCUUUAGUGCUGAAGUUAACGCAUUAAGCACUCCGCCUGGGGAGUACGGCCGCAAGGCUGAAACUCAAAGGAAUUGACGGGGGCCCGCACAAGCGGUGGAGCAUGUGGUUUUAAUUCGAAGCAACGCGAAGAACCUUACCAGGUCUUGACAUCCUCUGAAAACCCUAGAGAUAGGGCUUCUCCUUCGGGAGCAGAGUGACAGGUGGUGCAUGGUUGUCGUCAGCUCGUGUCGUGAGAUGUUGGGUUAAGUCCCGCAACGAGCGCAACCCUUGAUCUUAGUUGCCAUCAUUAAGUUGGGCACUCUAAGGUGACUGCCGGUGACAAACCGGAGGAAGGUGGGGAUGACGUCAAAUCAUCAUGCCCCUUAUGACCUGGGCUACACACGUGCUACAAUGGACGGUACAAAGAGCUGCAAGACCGCGAGGUGGAGCUAAUCUCAUAAAACCGUUCUCAGUUCGGAUUGUAGGCUGCAACUCGCCUACAGAAGCUGGAAUCGGUUGUAAUCGCGGAUCAGCA